Gossypium raimondii (Peruvian cotton) is the source of this 45-nucleotide non-coding RNA. The record is from Rfam. Lineage: Eukaryota; Viridiplantae; Streptophyta; Magnoliopsida; Malvales; Malvaceae.
AAUUUGGUUUUAUUUAAAACCAUAUACUGAAAGUUUAAAAUCUAA